Oxyura jamaicensis (ruddy duck) is the source of this 400-nucleotide long non-coding RNA. RefSeq lists it as uncharacterized. The record is from RefSeq and is a predicted model, not a curated record. NCBI's taxonomy places the organism in Eukaryota, Metazoa, Chordata, Aves, Anseriformes, Anatidae. The transcript has 2 exons.
GAGAAGGCCGGUCGCAGCCGGAGCGGGGAGGAGCGGCCCGGCCUAUUUUUCCACGAAUGGCCGCCGCCGGGCCGUGGCGUAGCCGCCCGCCUCUCCGCCGCCGGCCUCGGCCCGCCGCCGGUUUCCUCUGGCCCUCGUGCUGCCUGUUGGCCGCCAUGGCAUGGUGGCUCAGGUUGAGGCAGGGCUCGCCGUGGUGUGGUGUGGUGAAAGAAGUGGAGGGUUUGUGGGGCUGGCAGCGGCCAAGCCUGCCAGCGCCAUUUUGAUUUGGGAGAACAUCGGUGCUACUGCACAGGCGUGGAUGACAAAGCUUUUGAUCUUCGAUUCAAGCCUCUGGGGUGAGGGAACUGUGGAAAUACCAAGCCUCUCCAUUGAAGACAAAUAAAACAAGAGGAAAUAUAAA